GACGAACGCUGGCGGCGUGCUUAACACAUGCAAGUCGAACGGAAAGGCCCUGCUUUUGUGGGGUGCUCGUUUGGCGAACGGGUGAGUAACACGUGUGUAACCUGCCCUUGACUUUGGGAUAUCUCCAGGAAACUGGGGCUAAUACCGGAUAGGAUCUCCUGCUCCAUGGUGGGCGUUGGAAAGUUUCGGCGGUUGGGGAUCGACUCGCUGCUUAUCAGCUUGUUGGUGUGGUAGUGGCUUACCAAGGCUUUGACGGGUAGCCGGCAUGAGAGGGUGACCGGCCACAUGGGGACUGAGGUACGGCGCAGACUGCUACGGGAGGCAGCAGUGGGGAAUAUUGCACAAUGGGCGGAAGCGUGAUGCAGAAGCGCCGCGUGCGGGAUGACGGCCUACGGGUUGUAAACCGCUGUCGCAUGUGACGAAGCGUGAGUGACGGUAAUGGGUAAAGAAGCACCGGCUAACUACGUG
This 468-nucleotide ribosomal RNA is filed under the name uncultured bacterium. RNAcentral's name for it is "partial 16S ribosomal RNA". It matches the Rfam family "Bacterial small subunit ribosomal RNA", at positions 28 to 507 of the family's 1533-position model. The record is from RNAcentral.